ACAUUUCUUAUUUUGUUUAUGAGAACUUCUGUAUACUUUCUGAUAGCAUAGAAAAGAUGCUUUCAAAAACUACUUAGUAUGAAUGAUUUCACUCAUGUAAUUGUGUAUCUUCACAUACUGAUAGAUAAUAUGUAGGUAUAUUCUAGGUUGUUAACAUGAAUCAUCUAGGGACUUGUGGCUGCACCAUAGACUGAGAAGGAAGAAGUAGAAAAAGGCACUUAAACAAAAACAAAGACCGAAAAAGUACAGCCAUUGUGAUAUGGUUCAAGUUAUACACUUAUGUAUGCAAAUAAUUUUUUAAAAAAAUGAAUGGUACGUUUUCACCUUAAGAGGAUGCUAUCUAAUGGUAGAACAUCAGUAACUGUAAGCUGAGUGUAUAUGGGGAUUCAUUGUUUCCAUUCUACUUUUGUAUAUAUUUAAAAUUCUUUACAAUAAAAACAUUUCAAGAGAAGAUUUUUAAGAAGGAAUUCCAUUAAUUUUUAGUUGGAAAUCAGUUGCUGCUUUAUUCACAACCUGCCAUCAGGGCUAAGAAGUACCUUUUGUAGUUGUGGUUCUAUAGAUGGGGAAUUGUAAAAGUUACACUGGGUGCUAACUAGGUGAGAGAACAGAAAAGGACAUUAGAGAGCUGAAAAGGAAUUUAAAAAAAGCACUAAGAUUACAAGAUUAACAUGCUUAAGUGUCAAUAAUUGAAUAGAGUGGAUACAUUGGUGGCUAUUUCAUUUUUAAAAAUUUGAAAGUAAAUUGGAAAUUUUCUAGAGAAAAUUACAAAUCCUCCUUACAUUAAAUAAUGACUUGCUGCCUUGGUGAAUCUCCACAUCACUUACUUGUGUAUGACCUGAUUUAUGUUUCCACGUAGCUAAAGGAAAAGUCUACAAGAAUAGGUUACUGGAUGGUUUGAAGUCUCUUAAUGGAGGGAUUGUUAAUGCCAAUAAACUUGAUUCAGUUUUGAAAACCAUGGGAUGGAAACUCACAGAAGAUGAAAUUAAGGAUCUCAAAUGCAACCUGCCCACUGAUGGUGAGCAUUGAAAAUAUUUUU
Molecule: long non-coding RNA, 1036 nt
Filed under: Lynx canadensis (Canada lynx)
Lineage: Eukaryota; Metazoa; Chordata; Mammalia; Carnivora; Felidae
Description: lncRNA (ENSLCNG00005022479.1)
Source: RNAcentral